UUCCGGUUGAUCCUGCCGGAGGCUACCGCUAUUGGAGUUCGAUUAAGCCAUGCGAGUCGCGAGUCUUAGGGACUCGGCGUACCGCUCAGUAACACGUGGGUAACCUGCCCUAUGCUGGGGGAUAACCUCGGGAAACGGAGAAUAAUACCCCAUAGUUCACCACGCCUGGAACGGUGGGUGGAUCAAAGCUCCGGCGGCAUAGGAUGGGCCUGCGGCGUAUCAGGUUGUAGGGGGUGUAAUGUACCCUCUAGCCCUCUACGCGUACGGGUGUUGAGAGACACCGCCCGGAGAUGGAUUCUGAGACACGAAUCCAGACCCCACGGGGUGCAGCAGGCGCGAAAACUAGGCAAUGCGAGAAAUCGUGACCAGGGAACUCCAAGUGCAUCGGGUAAGACCGAUGCUUUUCUUGACUCUUCAAAGGUCUUGGAAUAAGGGGGUGGGUAAGGACGGUGCCAGCCGCCGCGGUAAUACCGGGGCCCCAAGUGGUAGU
Molecule: ribosomal RNA, 490 nt
Filed under: uncultured archaeon
Lineage: Archaea
Description: bacterial SSU rRNA
Rfam family: Archaeal small subunit ribosomal RNA
Source: RNAcentral